Molecule: ribosomal RNA, 162 nt
Filed under: Koelpinia linearis
Lineage: Eukaryota; Viridiplantae; Streptophyta; Magnoliopsida; Asterales; Asteraceae
Also listed under: 1 other name
Description: 5.8S ribosomal RNA
Rfam family: 5.8S ribosomal RNA
About the family: 5.8S ribosomal RNA (5.8S rRNA) is a component of the large subunit of the eukaryotic ribosome. It is transcribed by RNA polymerase I as part of the 45S precursor that also contains 18S and 28S rRNA.
Source: RNAcentral
AAACGACUCUCGGCAACGGAUAUCUCGGCUCACGCAUCGAUGAAGAACGUAGCAAAAUGCGAUACUUGGUGUGAAUUGCAGAAUCCCGUGAACCAUCGAGUUUUUGAACGCAAGUUGCGCCCAAAGCCAUCCGGCUGAGGGCACGCCUGCCUGGGCGUCACG